Molecule: ribosomal RNA, 862 nt
Filed under: bacterium
Lineage: Bacteria
Description: bacterial SSU rRNA
Rfam family: Bacterial small subunit ribosomal RNA
Source: RNAcentral
GAACGCUGGCGGCGUGCCUAAUACAUGCAAGUCGAGCGGAGAAAUGGGAGCUUGCUCCCAUUUCUCAGCGGCGGACGGGUGAGUAACACGUGGGCAACCUGCCCUGCAGACUGGGAUAACUCCGGGAAACCGGAGCUAAUACCGGGUAAUACAUAGCAUCGCAUGAUGCAACGUUGAAAGUUGGCCUUUGGCUAACACUGUAGGAUGGGCCCGCGGCGCAUUAGCUAGUUGGUAAGGUAACGGCUUACCAAGGCCACGAUGCGUAGCCGACCUGAGAGGGUGAUCGGCCACACUGGGACUGAGACACGGCCCAGACUCCUACGGGAGGCAGCAGUAGGGAAUCUUCCGCAAUGGACGAAAGUCUGACGGAGCAACGCCGCGUGAGUGACGAAGGCCUUCGGGUCGUAAAGCUCUGUUGUUAGGGAAGAACAAGUACCGUUCGAAUAGGGCGGUACCUUGACGGUACCUAACCAGAAAGCCACGGCUAACUACGUGCCAGCAGCCGCGGUAAUACGUAGGUGGCAAGCGUUGUCCGGAAUUAUUGGGCGUAAAGCGCGCGCAGGCGGUCUCUUAAGUCUGAUGUGAAAGCCCACGGCUCAACCGUGGAGGGCCAUUGGAAACUGGGGGACUUGAGUGCAGAAGAGGAGAGUGGAAUUCCACGUGUAGCGGUGAAAUGCGUAGAUAUGUGGAGGAACACCAGUGGCGAAGGCGGCUCUCUGGUCUGUAACUGACGCUGAGGCGCGAAAGCGUGGGGAGCGAACAGGAUUAGAUACCCUGGUAGUCCACGCCGUAAACGAUGAGUGCUAGGUGUUGGGGGGUUCCACCCUCAGUGCUGAAGUUAACACAUUAAGCACUCCGCCUU